ACUACGAAAACGUUAGUUGGAAUAACUCCAUCAGGAUUUUUCAGUCUUGUGUCAAAAUUGUGGAGCGGAAGUACAAGUGACCGCAAACUCACCCAAAAGAGUGGAAUUUUGGAAUUGAUUGAGGAAGGGGACCACAUUAUGGCUGACAGAGGAUUUGCAGAGACUUGCUUACAAAGCGAAAGGCCUUCCUAAACAUGCCUCCCUUCUCUAAGAAAGGUCAGCAACUGUCCAAAAAGUCACUGAAGACAACAAGAUCAAUUGCCAGUGCAAGAAUUCAUGUUGAGAGAGCCAUUGAGAGACUGAAAGACUUCCAUAUUCUACAAGGAAAUCUGCCUAUACCACUUGUACCUCUUGCUGAUAAAAUAUUAAUAGUUUGUGCUGCUUUGUGUAACGUACUACCUCCACUUACAAAGUAGAACUCUACCGUAUGCUUCCACUUUAUCAUAGAAACAACUACAACUAACUUCACGAAGCAAAGAAAUCUUUCAGAUUUAUCUUACCCUUCACUUAACCCACUUAAAACUUUUGGUUCAGUUCACAAAGAAAGUAUGUUUUUUGGAAUUCAUCCACAGAAGAUAGCACUAGUUUACCAAAAAAAAAAAGACCACAAUCACUUCCGUGAUGUUUACAAUAUAUGCACCUUGAAGUACUGUCAUAUAUUUCUUGAGUUCAAAACAGUACAACAUGCAAAAAACAAGUGUAUUCUCUAACCUGCAAACAGGUCAUUAAGACUAUUUUGCAUCUUG
This is a long non-coding RNA of Stylophora pistillata, 746 nucleotides long. NCBI's taxonomy places the organism in Eukaryota, Metazoa, Cnidaria, Anthozoa, Scleractinia, Pocilloporidae. The record is from RefSeq and is a predicted model, not a curated record.